Molecule: long non-coding RNA, 234 nt
Filed under: Selaginella moellendorffii
Lineage: Eukaryota; Viridiplantae; Streptophyta; Lycopodiopsida; Selaginellales; Selaginellaceae
Description: long non-coding RNA (SMOE_LNC001512)
Source: RNAcentral
GCAAUUCACAAGCUCUUUUUUCCACUCUUGCUCCUGCUCACUCUCUUUUCUCUCAGCAAUGGCGACGGCAGCGAAGGAAGCAACAUGGAUGUGAAUGCGGAACACUGGAGAUCGACACUAUCAAGGACAUGAGCAAGAAGUGCAACACUAGCUUCUGCACCUAAAACCACUCAUUUGUAACGCUAAGAUCUAUGUUACCCCUUAACACAAAAUAUUAAUAAACAUCCGGCCGGC